Molecule: ribosomal RNA, 515 nt
Filed under: uncultured bacterium
Lineage: Bacteria
Description: partial 16S ribosomal RNA
Rfam family: Bacterial small subunit ribosomal RNA
Source: RNAcentral
GAUGAACGCUGGCGGCGUGCCUAAUACAUGCAAGUCGAGCGAAUGGAUUAAGAGCUUGCUCUUAUGAAGUUAGCGGCGGACGGGUGAGUAACACGUGGGUAACCUGCCCAUAAGACUGGGAUAACUCCGGGAAACCGGGGCUAAUACCGGAUAACAUUUUGAACCGCAUGGUUCGAAAUUGAAAGGCGGCUUCGGCUGUCACUUAUGGAUGGACCCGCGUCGCAUUAGCUAGUUGGUGAGGUAACGGCUCACCAAGGCAACGAUGCGUAGCCGACCUGAGAGGGUGAUCGGCCACACUGGGACUGAGACACGGCCCAGACUCCUACGGGAGGCAGCAGUAGGGAAUCUUCCGCAAGGGACGAAAGGCUGACGGGGCAACGCCGCGUGAGUGAUGAAGGCUUUCGGGUCGUAAAACUCUGUUGUUAGGGAAGAACAAGUGCUAGUUGAAUAAGCUGGCACCUUGACGGUACCUAACCAGAAAGCCACGGCUAACUACGUGCCAGCCGCCGCGGUAA